This 314-nucleotide ribosomal RNA is filed under the name uncultured bacterium. RNAcentral describes it as "bacterial SSU rRNA". It matches the Rfam family "Bacterial small subunit ribosomal RNA", at positions 37 to 334 of the family's 1533-position model. The record is from RNAcentral.
GAUCGAACGGCGUAGCGACAGGCUUAACACAUGCAAGUCGAGGGGCAGCGGGGAGUAGCAAUACUCUGCCGGCGACCGGCGCACGGGUGAGUAACGCGUAUGCAACUUACCUAUCAGAGGAGAAUAGCUCAUCGAAAGAUGAAUUAAUGCUCCAUAAAACAGGGGUCCCGCAUGGGAAUAUUUGUUAAAGAUUUAUCGCUGAUAGAUAGGCAUGCGUUCCAUUAGGCAGUUGGCGGGGUAACGGCCCACCAAACCGACGAUGGGUAGGGGUUCUGAGAGGAAGGUCCCCACAUUGGUACUGAGACACGGACCAA